Molecule: long non-coding RNA, 1987 nt
Filed under: Medicago truncatula (barrel medic)
Lineage: Eukaryota; Viridiplantae; Streptophyta; Magnoliopsida; Fabales; Fabaceae
Description: long non-coding RNA (MTRU_LNC006300)
Source: RNAcentral
AACCGGGGUUUACAAUAAUCACACAUUGCGCACCAACGACUUGCGCUAGACCCUGAUGGUGUAUCGGAGAUGUUUAAUUAGAAAUAAGUUUUUGGUUUUUAAUUUACAUAAUGGUUUAUUGGUUUAAAUACAUGUUAUAAACAUGAAAAUGAAGAUUCAAUGGCUGCAAAAGAUGGUGGAAGACAAUCCCAAUCUACGGCAGCAAUGCUGCAUUGCCCUGCCCAACGGCGGGGUGUAAGGGCAUAGACUUCAAUGCUCUAGUCAGUAGGUGAUUCAUGUGGGUAAAAGUGAGAGGUUUAGAGUUAGAAUAAAAAUAUGCUUUGAUUUGUUAUUAUAUUGUUAGAAAGUGUACCUAUUUUCUGUUAGGAUAUAGGGUGAUAAUGGGUUUGGGCCAACCCAAGUAGGUAAGAUAGAUAUCAUUAAAGAUAUAGAUUUUUUUUUCUUUUGGGUACACAUUAAAGAUAUAUAAUUUAAGAAGUAUGUAUGUAAUUUGAACAACCAUUUUUUGGGCAACUUACGGGACAACCUAAGAUAUACAAAGAAAUAUAGGUUUUGGACGAAAACCAAAAAAAUAGGGAGAGUAAGUACACAAUGAGAGUAUGAGUUGUCACAAAAAUGGCUGUACAAAUAUCAUUUCUCAUAUAAGUAGAAAUUUCAGAGAUAUUGCAACAUCAUUUUAACCUUUUUUCUUUCUGCUAUUGCUUGUUUAAAUUAUUAUCCAAAGUGAAUGGGGUUGAUUUGGAUUAGCUUCACUGUUGUCGAUGGUGGAUGACAGAAGGCUGUGAAUCUGCUAUAUAUACACGCAAUUGUGACCUAUGGGUGUCUCCAUGGUGGGCAUCCCUUCACAAAUUGCCUAUGGUGUUUGUCAAAAAUCCGCCACACCGUUCCUCCAUGACUGCUAUUAAUCAACAUUGAUUAACUUCUAGCUAACACGGGUCUCAACUGAAAUGAGUAUUUGGUUCUUUAUUAAUGGGAAAACUCUUACAAUUGUUUUUGUUUUUGGAGAAGAUGAGAAAGCUUUGGGAAAAUUGAGACACGCAAAACUAAUUUCAAUUCACACGAGGAACUGUUAUUUAAAGGGUUACAGUCAUUGUAAAACCUUUUCUUUUGUUAUAAGUGAACAAGAAGUUAAUCUAAUUUGUUUUGAAGAUUGUGCAAAUGUUUUUGUUGUAUUCUGUUGUCCCAUAUAGUCUAUAAUUUAACAAAGUGGCUUGACUCAAGUGGUUGAUGAACUUCAUUUAAGAAUCUUUUGGGAGAAUACAAAUUCAAUUCUUGACUAAAACAAUUUUUCAUCAGACCCUACUUACCUCCCGACAGAACUCCGUAUUACCAACCAAAGCCCCUUUCAUAUCAUGGGAACCGAAGAGUUAAGACAAAAAUAAAAUAUAGUUUGUAAUUUUGUUUACCUUACAAUAUUGAAAAAUGAGUAGUCGAGUAUAUGGGUAGGAGUAGGACAACUAAAACAGCAACUUGUCCCUUGUUUGAUGAUGCAUUGGUCACUUAUUCUCAUGAUACAUUGCUCCUUGUUGUUGAUAUACUGUGUAAUAGAUAAGAUAACCAUUGACUUGUGACUAUGACAGCCAUCUAUGUGAUUGGAUUACCUUCUCCAAAACCAAUAAUGUACUUCAGAAGAAAAGGUGAUGAGUUGUAUUUGUUGAAUGAAAAAUCAACAAUUGAAAAAUGAAAUUCAAACAAUUUUGCAUGUGUAUAUACAAUGACACAACAACAACCAAACUUUAUUCCACUAGGGGUAAGCUGCAUGGAUCAAAUGAUUUCCUAUGCUUGUUCAUAGACCAUAUUUUUAUCGAAACCAUCGACUUAAGUCUUUCUUUAUAGUUUUUCAUGUUCUUCUUCUACCUUUGGUAAUUGGACUGCUCUACAUCUGAUCUUAUCUCCUUACUAUGGAACCUAUGUGGAGUAUAUUCAAUUAAAUGCAAUAACGCUGCAUAUUAUUCCUUGUUGGGACGGGGAAUCCCUCAAAUAUCAU